RNAcentral lists this ribosomal RNA (274 nucleotides) under uncultured bacterium. Its description in RNAcentral is "partial 16S ribosomal RNA". It matches the Rfam family "Bacterial small subunit ribosomal RNA", at positions 523 to 796 of the family's 1533-position model. The record is from RNAcentral.
AUACGGAGGGUGCAAGCGUUACUCGGAAUCACUGGGCGUAAAGCGCGCGCAGGCGGGCUGAUAAGUUGGAUGUGAAAGCCUACGGCUCAACCGUAGAACUGCAUCCAAAACUGUCAGUCUAGAGUCUGUGAGGGGAAGAUGGAAUUAGUUGUGUAGGGGUAAAAUCCGUAGAGAUAACUAGGAAUACCAAAAGCGAAGGCGAUCUUCUGGAACAGUACUGACGCUGAGGCGCGAAAGCGUGGGGAGCAAACAGUAUUAGAAACCCCAGUAGUCC